GAUGAAGAACGUAGCGAAAUGCGAUAAGUAAUGCGAAUUGCAGAAUUCAGUGAGUCAUCGAAUCUUUGAACGCACAUUGCGCCCCCUGGUAUUCCGGGGGGCAUGCCUGUCCGAGCGUCAUUACAACCCUCAAGCUCAGCUUGGUGUUGGGCCCCGCCGCCCCGGCGGGCCCUAAAGUCAGUGGCGGUGCCGUCCGGCUCCGAGCGUAGUAAUUCUUCUCGCUCUGGAGGUCCGGUCGUGUGCUCGCCAGCAACCCCCAAUUUUUUUCAGGUUGACCUCGGAUCAGGUAGGGAUACCCGCUGAACUUAAGCAUAUCAAUAAGCGGAGG
This 328-nucleotide unclassified non-coding RNA is filed under the name soil metagenome. Its description in RNAcentral is "partial contains 5.8S ribosomal RNA, internal transcribed spacer 2, and large subunit ribosomal RNA". The stretch from base 1 to 120 matches the Rfam family "5.8S ribosomal RNA", at positions 35 to 154 of the family's 154-position model. The record is from RNAcentral.